CGGGUAACGGGGAAUUAGGGUUCGAUUCCGGAGAGGGAGCCUGAGAAACGGCUACCACAUCCAAGGAAGGCAGCAGGCGCGCAAAUUACCCAAUCCCAAUACGGGGAGGUAGUGACAAUAAAUAACAAUAUGGGGCUCUUACGGGUCUCGUAAUUGGAAUGAGUACAAUUUAAAUCUCUUAACGAGGAACAAUUGGAGGGCAAGUCUGGUGCCAGCAGCCGCGGUAAUUCCAGCUCCAAUAGCGUAUAUUAAAGUUGUUGCAGUUAAAAAGCUCGUAGUUGAAUUUCGGAGUUUGUCGGUUGGUCGGGCUUCACUGUCCGCACUGGCCUGAUGGAUUCCUACCUUCUGAAUAACCAGCAUGCUAUUAAGUUAGUGCGUUGGGGAAGCAGAGCUAUUACCUUGAAAAAAUUAGAGUGCUUAAAGCAGGCUUAUGCUUGAAUAGAUUAGCAUGGAAUAAUAAAAUAGGACGGCAUGGUUCUAUUUUGUUGGUUUCUAGGAUCACCGUAAUGAUUAAUAGGGAUAGUUGGGGGCAUUAGUAUUCAAUUGUCAGAGGUGAAAUUCUUGGAUUUAUUGAAGACUAACUUCUGCGAAAGCAUUUGCCAAGGAUGUUUUCAUUAAUCAAGAACGAAAGUUAGGGGAUCGAAGACGAUCAGAUACCGUCGUAGUCUUAACCAUAAACUAUGCCGACUAGGGAUCGGACGAUGUUAAUUUUUUAAUGACUCGUUCGGCGCCUUACGG
This 738-nucleotide ribosomal RNA is filed under the name uncultured fungus. RNAcentral's name for it is "SSU rRNA". It matches the Rfam family "Eukaryotic small subunit ribosomal RNA", at positions 356 to 1093 of the family's 1831-position model. The record is from RNAcentral. Lineage: Eukaryota; Fungi.